AGUGGUGGGUGCUACUUGUCAGCCACACCAAAUUGGAUGGUGGUGUCCUACACUAAUCAUGGGGGGCAAUUUGCAGAAGACAGGUAACUGGAGCAGAUCCCUGGAAGAGUUAAACCCGAAGGAAGAAGCCUGCAUACCAGAGAAUGCCAACAAUCAACUGCCAGCCGAAACAUCUGAACAGCCAGGCCCAGAUGCCAACAGACAAAGAGAAAUGGAGUGCUCCAGUCACCUAACAGUCAGGAAGAAUAACAAAGACAAACUAGUGAAAGAUGAUAAAACACUUAGGAAGAAACCAGGAAGAAACACCUUUCAGUUGCCACCCGCCUGCCCAAGAAACUAUAAGAGAACAGUAAGACCAACAAUAUUUUUAUGUUCUCACAAGACAAAUAAUGCAAAGAAUAAAACCCACCAUAGCCAAAACAAAAAACGUUGGGAUAUGAAACCAUUCCAAGUGACCUCCUGUGGAUCGAGAAAGUGUGAAGCCUGGGUUAGAAACUUAGAACAAGCUACAGCAGUUUUAGAAUUAAAUGUGGAGAAAAGAAAAGACAUUUGAGAUCACAUCUAGAGCCAACAAGUUGUGUGCCAGUUGGCAGUUGAAAUAAAACAUUCAAGAUGUGGGAAAAAAUAAAUUAUAGUGGUAUAGAAAAGUAGAACUAAUAGGUUCUCCUCUAGGAUUCAUAACCUUACCUGCUAUUGCCCUUGUCUUCCCCCAAGAACUUGAAGUUGUUACUGUGAACCCUGUAUUUAGUUAUUCUCAUAUUACAAGAAAAUAACCACUUUAAAACAAAAGGGAUGAUGCCUGUGUACAUUUACUCAGGCAAAUCUUGUGUUUUCAGGAAUCUACAGAUUUCAAAUGGUGUCACAUUCCCCAAAUCAUUUUACAAGCAGAAAUAUUGUUUAAGCAGCUACACAGACAUCCCUGAUGCCAGUCAAUUGACACUUGAAAUGAGGAGACUUCCAAUCCACCAAUAAUCAUACUGAAAUAAUCAUUAUGCUGCCCCUGGUGUAUCUGUGGUUUUACUGUAACACAGCAAUCAUCAUUGCAGUUCAAGGUACAUUGUUUGGCAGAGGCAUUUAUACCUUCAAGAAGAACUCUUCAUUCUCCUCUUUAAAGUCUGAUGAAAGCUUGUUCUGGAAAACCUUCAAAAUCAGGAAAUAAAGCUUCAUAUGCUAUCC
This 1176-nucleotide long non-coding RNA is filed under the name Mus musculus (house mouse). Its description in RNAcentral is "RIKEN cDNA 4933402J10 gene (4933402J10Rik)". Lineage: Eukaryota; Metazoa; Chordata; Mammalia; Rodentia; Muridae. The record is from RNAcentral.